UUGGGUAGUCCGCACGAGCGCANCCUUGNUCAUUAGUUGCUAUGAAAGGGCACUCUAAUGAGACUGCCGGUGACAAACCGGAGGAAGGUGGGGAUGACGUCAGGUCCUCAUGGCCCUUAUGGGUAGGGCUACACACGUCAUACAAUGGCCGGUACAGAGGGCUGCCAACCCGCGAGGGGGAGCCAAUCCCAGAAAACCGGUCGUAGUCCGGAUCGCAGUCUGCAACUCGACUGCGUGAAGUCGGAAUCGCUAGUAAUCGCGGAUCAGCUUGCCGCGGUGAAUACGUUCCCGGGUCUUGUACACACCGCCCGUCACACCAUGGGAGCGGGUUCUGCCAGAAGUAGUUAGCCUAACCGCAAGGAGGGCGAUUACCACGGCAGGGUUCGUGACUGGGGUGAAGUCGUAACAAGGUAGCCGUAUCGGAAGGUGCGGCUGGAUCACCUCCU
RNAcentral lists this ribosomal RNA (446 nucleotides) under uncultured bacterium. RNAcentral's name for it is "bacterial SSU rRNA". It matches the Rfam family "Bacterial small subunit ribosomal RNA", at positions 1074 to 1531 of the family's 1533-position model. The record is from RNAcentral.